RNAcentral lists this unclassified non-coding RNA (3528 nucleotides) under Pomacea canaliculata. Its description in RNAcentral is "sugar transporter SWEET1-like, transcript variant X6". The record is from RNAcentral. Lineage: Eukaryota; Metazoa; Mollusca; Gastropoda; Architaenioglossa; Ampullariidae.
CCGGAAGCUUUCUUGUAUCAUGCCUCAUUUUAGCAGUUAACUGGAAAACUAUCGUCUGCCAGCAGUCCAGGGAUAUUAGUUCGUGAUCAAAAAGUCAAACUAUGGACGUGUAAUGCCAGUUCGUGGUAAAACCUCGAGCUUAGAUCUCGCUUGAUAUUAGUUUGAUGAAAUAGUUCCAGUCCAUUAGCGUUAUACUUCCCUUUUUCCUUAAUCAGUUGUCACUUUCAUAAUUCCACACAGGUUUACUGUCGUUGUAGAAGGCGCGCCGUGUCCUAUAAUCGAUAUUGCGGGGGAAAAAGUGCACAUAAGUUUGCGUCUGCGAGUACGUAGCCGCAGUCUGAAAGCAACCACGAUGGAGCUCUUGUCGGUCGUUGAAACUGUAACGAUAGUCGUCACCUUUGUGCUUAUGGCAUCGGGAAUACCAUCAUGUCUGGACAUGUACAAGACCAAAGACACAAAGAAUGUGCCAUACCUGUUUUUUCUCAUCAACACAGUCAUAAGCCUAAUUGCUGUGUAUUAUGGACUGGUGGUCAGCAACUCCACUUUGAUUCUGGUCAAUGGUGUGGGCACAAUUCUCUGGGGGCUAUAUGUUUUUGUCUAUGUUGCUGUCAGCAGGUCUAAGAGCUGGCCUGUGGCACAAGUCUUGAUGCUGGCCUUACUUUUACUGGGACACCUGCUGUACCUGAAGCUGUUUACUCCGUACCCUCCAGCCCUUGCCAGCACUCUUGGCUUCUUUUUGUUUGUCUGGUCCGUGGUGGUGCUUCUAACUCCAAUCCUUGACAUAGUGCAGAUAGCACGAGAGCGAAGUGCUGAAGGAACCUCCAUUCCCUUGUUGCUGGGGGGCACACUGUGCUGUUUGGCCUGGCUUGCAUAUGGCUACCUCCUCAAUGAUUUUUUUGUCUAUGCUCCCAAUAUCCUUGGUCUUGGUGUGAACUUUGCCAAGUUUGUUGCAAUGGGUGUUUACAGUGGAGCAAAAUUCAAGGGCAAGACAUUGUAAAGGUCAAAUUUACUAGCAAGAAGCUUUUCUGCAUCUAUUUGUAAAUGCACUGUAGCACAUAUAUAGGUCAUGAACGUCUUCAACAACCCAGAGGUACUGUGUUUUCACAGAUUCACCUCUGAUAAUGAAGUAUAGCAAGUUGCGCUUACCUGGCUUCAGGAGCAGUCAAAACCUUCUGUGCAGAAAUACAAACGCUAGUUAAUAUAACAAUUUCUUGCCCAGGGACUAUAUGGGGAAAUGUCAUAUUUUGGAAAUAUGAUGAAGUUGCUCACAGUUAAAAUAUUAUUUGCCUUUACUUUUUGAUUCCCUUGUGUUUUGUGAUUUUAGCUUUUAGCUGCCCAUAUUAGGGACAUUACAUCUGUUAUAAAACUGUGCCAGAAUGAAAGUUAAAAUUGUUCUGUUUAUCAAUUUCUAUAAAUUUUAUAAAUUUCUAGUCUUCAGGAGCAAUCAGACCUUACUAGUGCCUUUUUAAUUCAAGUUGUUAAGUACAUGGACAGAGGGACAAGAUGAGUAAAUCAUACUUGUUUUAUUGAAGUUUAUUAAGAUGUUGUGAUAAUUUAAUUUAAACCACACACACACAGGUCAUCACUUUUUAAAAAACUUAAAUACUCAAUUCUGUCUUCAAAGGUGUGUUAAGACAGCAAGUGUACACUGUCCUCUUUCAUGUGAGCACUGGAUACAAAUUUCGUCUUUAUGUCAGAAAUGUUUUUGUAUUUAGCAUAUUUACUAGCUUUGUGGCACUGUUAUCCUGGCCUGCAAAUAUAGCAUGAGAUGUAAGUACAUAUUUUGAUAUUCAAGGAGAGGAUUUUUUUGUAAAAUGUAUACAGAAAUUCUAAAUGUGGCAUUACCCUCAAGCCUAGUCAUAAUAUUUUCUGUUUUUGUAUUCUGUGCUGUGUAGUCUAUAAUCAUAUGCUAUAAUCGUUUGUGUGUGCAUAUGUAAGGUCAUGAUGCGCACGAUUAUGCAUGUACACACAGGAAACGUGGCCUUAAACUGCCAUAUUUGUUGCAGUGAUGGCAGCAAUCAUACCAUAACAGAUUUUUGUCUUUAGGUGUAUGUUAAUUUAUCAAGCCAAUACUAGCUCAAUUUAAAUCUGUUCUUUAACCAUGAUGCACUUGAUGAUAAAUUGUGGUUACUCUGUUAAAUUUUAGUAUUGCCUCUCAGAACUAGUCCAGGUCAGAAUAUUUAUAAUUGUUACCAUGGUUUCCCUUGGGAUUGGUUAUUGCACUAUAGUUGUCAUGUACUAACAUAAUAAUCCCUUUGACCAUCAAUUUGCCUUGCUUCGUUCUUACUACAAUUUGUGAUUAAUGGAUUACAUGAAUAUUAGAAUGUUUGUAAUUGAAAUAGUUAAUCAUUACUGAGGUGAGAAUUUUACUAGCUUAAUAUGUGCCUCCCAAAAAAAUAUUCGAUCCAUACAUGUAAUACAAUAAUAAUAAUAACUAACUUUAUUUGUCCCAAUGGGCAAUUUAAGUGGGAGAUGUGCUCUGCAUUAUUAUAAAAAAAAAAUCAUUACAAUUACGAUGCAGUGGAAUGUAGAGCAGUGGUUCUCAAAGUGUGGUUCACAGACCACUUGUGGGCCGCAUUCAUGUCAGGUGGUCCACGGAUGACAGUCAUCGUAUAUCAGCAAAGUCAUGUUUAAAUUGCCAGAUAUGCUAAUUAGUCCAGUAUUGAUUGCACAUGAGUUUUAAUUUUAUCGAUGCCAACUGCUCAUUUGCAUAAAAUGCUUGCUUACCAAAUGUCUUUACAUCACAGCGUGAGCAUUGUGUCAUUUAACCAUGUCAUCUGUUACCCUUAGGAACGCAGUGCACGUCCUUUUUGUUAAUUUUUAUAUUUGUUUUGCUAAGUAUGUAAUUUGAUGUAAACUUAUGACUAUACUACUGUCGCAAAAUACAUUUACUUUUGAAUUGUAACAAAACAAAUGAGGCAGUUUAAAUUUGAAAUUCACGAUGCAGUGAUUUUAGGCCUUGGUGCUCCACCGCAUUUUUUUACUUAGGAAAGUGGUCUGCAGUUUGAAAUACUUUGAGAACCACUGAUGUAGAGUAUAACUAUCAUAUCCCAUAUCACUUGCACAUUAUAGCACCAAAAAGUGAUAUGUUGUUAUGAUGCUAGUUAUGAAUAUUUUGUCACAUUCACUGUGUAUUAAUAGGAGGUUUUUGUUGAUGUGGAAAUGCACAGCUGGGCACAGGCAGUGUUAAAUAUUACAGAAUAUAUAGAUUCAUGUUUUUACACCUCUUUAUGCCUUACUGUAUGUACAUGUGACAUUUAGACAAAUAAAGAUAAUGAAAAUUUAAAUAAGUAACAAAAUAUUUUUCUAUAUUAUUAAAAAUGGAGAACAAUGCAAGAACAACAUACUUAAACCAUCCUGAAAGGACUUAUUGAGAAAGACAAAUGCAUUCAUAGUUGAAUUGUGGAUAAAUGGCACAUAAACAGAUGUCUGUGUCUUGAAGACACUACAUUUGGUAAGCAUUUAUAUCCAUACCAGAACAACGUUGUCAUUUUCCUAUAUGUCCACAAUAAAUUAUUUUAAAAUGAA